RNAcentral lists this ribosomal RNA (498 nucleotides) under uncultured bacterium. RNAcentral describes it as "partial 16S ribosomal RNA". It matches the Rfam family "Bacterial small subunit ribosomal RNA", at positions 28 to 507 of the family's 1533-position model. The record is from RNAcentral.
GACGAACGCUGGCGGCAUGCCUAACACAUGCAAGUCGAACGGAGAUUAUUUCGGUAAUCUUAGUGGCGAACGGGUGAGUAACGCGUGGGCAACCUGCCCUCUAGAUGGGGACAACAUCCCGAAAGGGGUGCUAAUACCGAAUGUGACAGCAAUCUCGCAUGAGGAUGCUGUGAAAGAUUGCCUCUAUUUAUAAGCUAUCGCUAGAGGAUGGGCCUGCGUCUGAUUAGCUAGUUGGUGGGGUAACGGCCUACCAAGGCGAUGAUCAGUAGCCGGUCUGAGAGGAUGAACGGCCACAUUGGGACUGAGACACGGCCCAGACUCCUACGGGAGGCAGCAGUGGGGAAUCUUCCGCAAUGGGCGAAAGCCUGACGGAGCAAUGCCGCGUGAGUGAUGAAGGAAUUCGUUCCGUAAAGCUCUUUUGUUUAUGACGAAUGUGCAGAUUGUGAACAAUGAUCUGUAAUGACGGUAGUAAACGAAUAAGCCACGGCUAACUACGUG